Molecule: long non-coding RNA, 274 nt
Filed under: Ananas comosus (pineapple)
Lineage: Eukaryota; Viridiplantae; Streptophyta; Magnoliopsida; Poales; Bromeliaceae
Description: long non-coding RNA (ACOM_LNC029219)
Source: RNAcentral
AGAUUUUCAUAAUUUUCUGACACUGAAUUUUUUGCUAAAAUAUCAGCCCCGUUUCUCACAGAAAAUUUUAAAUCUUCUGUUUCUGUUCCGAUUUCAGCACAAGUCGUUUCCGACUUAUGUUUUACUUCUUUAAGUCCAAUAAAAAUAGUAUCCCACACUAUUUUUAUUUAUAUUUAUUUUUAAAUUAAAAUUCGGUACAUUACAUUCUACACCCCUUAAAAAGAGUUUCGUCUGCGAAACUCAAACCACGCCUCAAUUUAGCUCCUCGAGCAAU